CCCUUAGAUGUUCUGGGCUGCACACGUGCUACACUGGCAGGUUCAGCGAGUUUCAUGCCCUGAUCUGAAAGGAAUGGGAAAUCUUUUCAAAACCUGCCGUGCUUGGGAUAGAUGUUUGCAAUUAUUCAUCUUCAACGAGGAUUGCCUUGUAAGCGCACGUCAUCAGCGUGCAUUGAAUACGACCCUGUAUUCUGUACACACCGCCCGUCGCUCCUACCGAUUGAAGUUUUCGGUGAGUUGACAGGAGGAUUUUUUUGAAACUGGUUCGCCAGUGGAUUUUAGAUCCAAAUGCCAACGAAUCGAUGGCUUUAGAGGAAGGAGAAGUCGUAACA
This 332-nucleotide ribosomal RNA is filed under the name uncultured eukaryote. RNAcentral's name for it is "partial 18S ribosomal RNA". It matches the Rfam family "Eukaryotic small subunit ribosomal RNA", at positions 1470 to 1796 of the family's 1831-position model. The record is from RNAcentral.